This 221-nucleotide long non-coding RNA is filed under the name Paramuricea clavata. The record is from RNAcentral. Lineage: Eukaryota; Metazoa; Cnidaria; Anthozoa; Malacalcyonacea; Plexauridae.
GUUUGGAAACUCAUUAAAAUAAUAAUAUAACUCAUUAUCUACGUUAGUCAACGUUUAUUCAUAAAUCUGGUCGUUCACCGUCACGUGCGUAUUGUAUUUUUGCCCAAAUAACCAAUAGCAAUGUUUUAAGAAAGUUAGCUAUCCGUGACUCGAACAAUAGGGUAAAUAGGAAAUUGCUAUUGGUGGAUUUGGCAAAAAUACAAUAAACACGUGACGGUGAA